RNAcentral lists this ribosomal RNA (250 nucleotides) under uncultured bacterium. RNAcentral describes it as "partial 16S ribosomal RNA". It matches the Rfam family "Bacterial small subunit ribosomal RNA", at positions 524 to 773 of the family's 1533-position model. The record is from RNAcentral.
UACGUAGGAGGCAAGCGUUGUCCGGAUUUACUGGGUGUAAAGGGUCCGCAGGCGGAUGUGUAAGUCGGUGGUGAAAUCCUACGGCUCAACCGUAGAACUGCCUCCGAUACUGCAUAUCUUGAAUAUAGGAGAGGGCAAUGGAAUUCCAGGUGUAGCGGUGAAAUGCUUAGAUAUCUGGAAGAACACCGGUUGCGAAGGCUGUUGCCUGGCCUAUUAUUGACGCUCAGGGACGAAAGCGUGGGGAUCAAAC